GGUGGCUCAGUGGUAAAGUGCUUGCCUUGCAUGCAUGAGGCCUUGGGUUCGAUUCCUCAGCACCA
Dipodomys ordii (Ord's kangaroo rat) is the source of this 65-nucleotide non-coding RNA. NCBI's taxonomy places the organism in Eukaryota, Metazoa, Chordata, Mammalia, Rodentia, Heteromyidae. The record is from Rfam.